CGUGCCUAACACAUGCAAGUCGAACGAGAAAUCUCCCGCUUGCGGGAGAGAGUAAAGUGGCGCACGGGUGAGUAACGCGUGGGUAACCUGCCCUUGAAUCUGGGAUAACUUCGCGAAAGCGUAGCUAAUACCGGAUAUCGUCUUGAGAACUGUGGUUCUCUAGAUGAAAGGUGACCUCUUCAUGAAAGUUGCCGUUCAGGGAGGGGCCCGCGUGCCAUUAGCUUGUUGGUGGGGUAAUGGCCUACCAAGGCUACGAUGGUUAGCUGGUCUGAGAGGAUGAUCAGCCACACUGGAACUGAAACACGGUCCAGACUCCUACGGGAGGCAGCAGUGAGGAAUUUUGCGCAAUGGGGGAAACCCUGACGCAGCAACGCCGCGUGAGUGAAGAAGGCCUUCGGGUCGUAAAGCUCUGUCAAGGGGGAAAAACCCCUCUCGAUUAAUAGUCGAAAGGACUGAUGGUACCCCUAGAGGAAGCACCGGCUAACUCCGUG
This 491-nucleotide ribosomal RNA is filed under the name uncultured bacterium. Its description in RNAcentral is "bacterial SSU rRNA". It matches the Rfam family "Bacterial small subunit ribosomal RNA", at positions 43 to 507 of the family's 1533-position model. The record is from RNAcentral.